Molecule: ribosomal RNA, 442 nt
Filed under: uncultured bacterium
Lineage: Bacteria
Description: partial 16S ribosomal RNA
Rfam family: Bacterial small subunit ribosomal RNA
Source: RNAcentral
CCUACGGGUGGCAGCAGUGGGGAAUAUUGGGCAAUGGACGCAAGUCUGACCCAGCAACGCCGCGUGAAGGAAGACGGCUUUCGGGGUGUAAACUUCUUUUAAGGAGGAAGUGCAGAAGACGAUACCCCUUGAAUAAGCCACGGCUAACUACGUGCCAGCAGCCGCGGUAAUACGGAGGUGGCAAGCGUUGUCCGGAUUUACUGGGUGUAAAGGGCGUGUAGGCGGGCUUGUAAGUCAGAAGUGAAAUCUGGGGGCUUAACCCCCAAACUGCUUUUGAAACUGCGGGUCUUGAGUGAUGGAGAGGCAGGCGGAAUUCCCAGUGUAGCGGUGAAAUGCGUAGAUAUUGGGAGGAACACCAGUGGCGAAGGCGGCCUGCUGGACAUUAACUGACGCUGAGGCGCGAAAGCGUGGGGAGCAAACAGGAUUAGAUACCCCUGUAGUC